Vombatus ursinus (common wombat) is the source of this 2718-nucleotide long non-coding RNA. RefSeq lists it as uncharacterized. The transcript has 2 exons. NCBI's taxonomy places the organism in Eukaryota, Metazoa, Chordata, Mammalia, Diprotodontia, Vombatidae. The record is from RefSeq and is a predicted model, not a curated record.
AAAUAACAAUUUGGCUUCCAUAGUUCUUUCUUUGGAUGUGGAUAGCAUUUUACAUCAUGUCUCUCAUGCUUUUCUCCAGACAACUCAGAAUUGGUCACAAACAUUAUCUCAUUCAAGACAUUUUUAUGAGCUAAAUGUUACUGGAGAUCCCAAAUUUCACAAGUUUCUUUAAAUUUGUGAAUGCAAACAGUAUCAUUGUAGCUUUUUUGGUGAUGAUUUGAAACAAAGUGAGCAUAUAAACGUUCUGAGUUGUAUAAGAGUUGUUUCCUUUGUUUAAAGAGGUCAAAGUGAAGAUAUUGAGGACUUCUGGAUUGCUUUUGCUAAUAAGACAUGUGAAACUGAAAUGUCCAUAUGCAUGCCCCACAGAAUAAUUUUAGUCUUAUUUCGUGAAUUAGUUUUACCAAAUUUUAGGGCUACUAAGAUGGGUCCAUGGAAAAUUCCUGUGGGUAGGAAAAGUAACUUAAAUCUUUUCCUUUUGAUGAUGAUGAAGUGUUCUACCUGACCUCAGGUAAUACUGGUGAACAACAUAUUAAAUCUGGUCAGACUUUUAGGCUAUCUGCCCAUUGGGCCUAGGAAUGAAAACCCUCCCUAGGACUUUGAACAUUCACAUGUAAUAGGCAGCAUGGUUGUUUUAUUCAGUCAACUAGACUACAUUAAACGUAAUGUGAAGUCAGAUGACUUAGGCCUCACUUUUUUGGAUGCCAGAUUUCCUGCUGAUCCAACUUUCAUGCUUCCAAGUAGCUUGGCUAAAUUUAUUUUGAUCAUACACUAAUGUGUACCUGAAAAAUACAUAGCAGUCCAUUCCUUUAGUUCUGUCAGAAUUAUUUACCUUUUUAUCUAGUGGUAGAUAUGUUGUGAACCUGGAGAACUGAUGUGAGAUAUUAAGAAAACUGGGAUGGUUUAUGCUGUGGAUAGGAACAUAAUUGGAGAAUACAUUGAUCUUUAUGGAAAACUAAAUGCAAAUUUCUUACUCUUGAUAUUUGCAAAUUCACAUAGGUAAACAUUUUCAGAGUUAUAUAGGAGAACCAAGUAUAGCCUAAUUGGAAAAAAAAUCAUGUUUACUUGCUGCUUCUUUGAAACUGGAGAAAGCUAUUUUCAACCCAGAGUCAUGCUGGGUUUCAUACUUACGGUGGGGUAAGCUAUUCAGAAAUGAGCUCCGAGGAGAGGUGGCUGGUAGAGGUUGUGGCAGCUUAAACCGCAGGUAUAUUUGGGAAGCCACGAGGCGCUCUUCCAUGGCUGGGCGACCCUCGCGGAGGCAGAGGAUGGAUGCUGUGGCUGAGUGGAGAGCGGCGCGCCCAGAGAGGAAUCCCAUGAAGCGGAGCUGGAGGGACCAGGAGAGAUUCAAUACCUACAGGUUCAUCCCCCUGAAGUUUGGGUAUGUGGCCACACCGUAGUUUUGCCUGAGAAAAGAGUAUGGUGCCGGCCAUAUGGAACACAAUUAGGGAUAGCCUCCAGCAGAGCUCGGGUCUCCUGGCUUGGUACAAGAGAGAUGCUAUGGGACCAGUUAUUGCCCCUCAUCCAGUCAGUGGUAUGGCAGGGCAUUUUGCCGAAUGUGAUAAUAAUUCACUUAGGGGAAAAUGACUUAGUCCAGCAGACUAAGCUAGGCCUAAUAAUCACCAUGAAAAAUGAUUUGAUAACAUUAUGCAAAACCUUUCCUAAAGCAAAGAUUAUAUGGUCAACUUUACUCCCCAGGAGAAUAUGGCCAGGGGCCCAGAAACCUGGGGCAGUUGAUAAAGCCAGGAAAGCACUGAUUAAAGAACUUUCUAAGUUUUGUAGCCUGUCUGGAAUUUCGGUGUUGAGACAUGAUCAGAUUGUGUAUUCUUCCCCAGAGCUAUUUAGCCAAGAUGGAGUUCAUCUAUCUGCAAUUGGGGAAGGCAUUUUUAAUGCCAAUCUGCGGGAAGCAAUUGAAGCUUGCUUAUAACCCACUUCUGCUGCUUUGUUGAGUUCCUCUCCCUUCUUUAGGUGGAAUUAAUCUUUGCUUUGUAGCUUUAUCUCUAGUUCUUUCCCAUCCCUCCUGCUGGACAAGUCAUUUGCUUUUGGACAAGGCUUUAAUAAGACUGUAGUGGAGAUUCUAAUGCCUCUUUGGGAUUAGAGGGACUCAUUUUGUGCUGUAUUCCUUUGUGUGGGGUGGAUAUUGAGAAGGUAGGGCUUCCAUUAUUAAACCUGUAUCUUGGCUCCAGAUUUUGGGACCAUUUGCUUAGCUGCUUUAAUCUAAGAGGAGGAAUAAUAUUUAUGUACGUUUUCAAAGGAGACCAGGAAGAGACCAUUCCUAAAAGAUGUUUACAGGGUUUUGUGGGGUUUGUUGUUGUUGUUGUAGUUGUUAUUAUCACAGGCUCUUUCCUGCCUUCUGCAACUGUACCCAAGAGCUGUGCUCACUCUUUUCCCCAGCAUUUUCCCACCCCCUCACAUUCAGAAUAUAAAACAAAGUAUUUGUAUUUCUUUUGUAUGUAAUUGACUUUUCUAAAUGACUGAAUGUAAGGCUCUUAAUAAAUCACUUCCUGUAAAGAUGUAUUACUUAGCCUUUCUAUUCAUAAAGGGCUAUGGAUAUUCACUCUCUGUCAGUAGGAGUGUAAAUGACGUUGUGAUCUGCACCAAUGCCUUUGUGGUAGAGUCAUUUUAUUGAUAGUUCUUAGGCUUAAUUCAGUCCAGAUGUUAUGUAGAUAUAAUGUUAUUGUAGUAUUUUGUCUUUAAUAAAGUUGCAACUUGGAAUCUUGUAAA